Molecule: unclassified non-coding RNA, 335 nt
Filed under: Hevea brasiliensis (rubber tree)
Lineage: Eukaryota; Viridiplantae; Streptophyta; Magnoliopsida; Malpighiales; Euphorbiaceae
Source: RNAcentral
GUAAAUCCAAGGUUUGUAAUUAUGCUUUGUAAGUUUAUCUUGUAUUUUAACUGAUUCACUUAGUUCUCUCUAUGCAAUUUAUAAUCAAGUUGUACAAUUUCAUGUUGCUUAAUAGCUUAGUUGCACUAAAUUUAUCUAUUAUUAGUUUGAAUAUUGCAUAAUGAUCUGAGGCUUCUAUUUCAUGUUCUAUGAUACUGUUCUUUCACCCUUCAAGGGUUAUUGUUGGGUUUGAUUCUUUGUGCCAUGCUAAAGUUUUUUGGACUUUUCAUGACCAAGUACUGAUCCCUGUAUGCCUGGUAGUUUAAAUGUGAAUUUUUGGGGAGUCUUCGAUGGAG